Molecule: ribosomal RNA, 519 nt
Filed under: uncultured bacterium
Lineage: Bacteria
Description: bacterial SSU rRNA
Rfam family: Bacterial small subunit ribosomal RNA
Source: RNAcentral
GGAGUACGAUCGCAAGAUUGAUACUCAAAGGAAUUGACGGGGACCCGCACAAGCGGUGGAGCAUGUGGUUUAAUUCGAAGCAACGCGAAGAACCUUACCAAAUCUUGACAUCCUUUGAUCGCUCUAGAGAUAGAGUUUUCCCCUUCGGGGGACAAAGUGACAGGUGGUGCAUGGUUGUCGUCAGCUCGUGUCGUGAGAUGUUGGGUUAAGUCCCGCAACGAGCGCAACCCUUAAGCUUAGUUGCCAUCAUUAAGUUGGGCACUCUAAGUUGACUGCCGGUGACAAACCGGAGGAAGGUGGGGAUGACGUCAAAUCAUCAUGCCCCUUAUGAUUUGGGCUACACACGUGCUACAAUGGACGGUACAAAGGGUCGCUAAACCGCGAGGUCAAGCAAAUCCCAUAAAGCCGUUCUCAGUUCGGAUUGUAGUCUGCAACACGACUACAUGAAGCUGGAAUCGCUAGUAAUCGUAGAUCAGCAUGCUACGGUGAAUACGUUCGCGGGUCUUGCACACACCGCCU